GACGAACGCUGGCGGCGUGCCUAAUACAUGCAAGUUGAGCGAUGAAGCUUGGUGCUUGCCCCAAUUUGAAGAGCAGCGAACGGGUGAGUAACGCGUGGGGAAUCUGCCUUUGAGCGGGGGACAACAUUUGGAAACGAAUGCUAAUACCGCAUAACAACUUUAAACAUAAGUUUUAAGUUUGAAAGAUGCAAUUGCAUCACUCAAAGAUGAUCCCGCGUUGUAUUAGCUAGUUGGUGAGGUAAAGGCUCACCAAGGCGAUGAUACAUAGCCGACCUGAGAGGGUGAUCGGCCACAUUGGGACUGAGACACGGCCCAAACCCCUACGGGAGGCAGCAGUAGGGAAUCUUCGGCAAUGGACGAAAGUCUGACCGAGCAACGCCGCGUGAGUGAAGAAGGUUUUCGGAUCGUAAAACUCUGUUGGUAGAGAAGAACGUUGGUGAGAGUGGAAAGCUCAUCAAGUGACGGUAACUACCCAGAAAGGGACGGCUAACUACGUG
Molecule: ribosomal RNA, 497 nt
Filed under: uncultured bacterium
Lineage: Bacteria
Description: partial 16S ribosomal RNA
Rfam family: Bacterial small subunit ribosomal RNA
Source: RNAcentral